Molecule: long non-coding RNA, 1134 nt
Filed under: Triticum aestivum (bread wheat)
Lineage: Eukaryota; Viridiplantae; Streptophyta; Magnoliopsida; Poales; Poaceae
Description: long non-coding RNA (TAES_LNC007670)
Source: RNAcentral
CCAAAAAGAAUUCUCACCUUCAUAUUAUUAUUACACUUUCUUGAAAGCACUGCUGUAAUUUAGGCUGGUCAUAGUGGAGAGUAACUUAGACUAGUAACAUACAUAUGUUACUAGUCUAUGUUACUACCUUCAUAGUGGGUAGUGUCAUAGGUGUGGUAACAUAGUUGCCUUCAUUUAUUACUUUGUAGACUCAUUAUGCAUUGGAAACCGCUAUGUGAUGGUAACAUAUUAUGUUACUCUAUUUGCCUCUCUCCUCAUUAACUACUUGCCACAUCAUCAAUUUUGCUUAUGUGGCAUCUAUGUUACUACUUAUGUUACUCCCACUAUGACCAGCCUUAUACAGUGAGCCAGCCAGCACCAGAGUAUUAUUGCUCAUGAUCAGUCAAACGGUAAUUUUUUUUACAACGGGACAAACAAAAUGGAGCAACCAAGAGAGCAGCGGGGGGAGGAGAAGAGGGAGAUGAUCUUGGCGAAACACAAGAUCAUCCUCACCCUUCUUCUUGUCUCUCUUUCACUCGCUGUAAUUUUUUCACCUACAGGCUAAACCAAUAUCCAAGAGUCACAGGAGAGAGGGAGAGGAGCAGGGAGGAGGGGGUGCUCUGCUCUGCUCAUUUCAUCUCGAUGCUUCUGAAGUCGAGCAUGGCGGUCCGGAGCCCCAUGAAGCUGCUGCACUUGCAGUCCGCGCUCCUGGGGAGCCCCAUGCUGCAGCUGAAGCAGAGGCCCACGACGGCCUCCCUCUUCACCACGGGCUUGGUGUCCACCAUGGGGUCCUCGUGGGACGGGGGGCUGAUGCAGAGGUCCAGGUUCAGGUCCGGGCACUUGAGCGCCUUCCCCUGGCCCCACUCCAUCUGGUGGUGGGGGUUGCUACGGUGAUGGUGGUCGACGUGGGUGAUCGCCGCUGCCGCUGCCGCUACCUUGGUGGGCUCGGCGUCUCGCCGGAACACGGCGCCCUUGUCGUCCCUCUGCGCCGCCUCAAACGAUAUGGUGAUGUUGGACGCGGCGUGGUCGCUGUUGAUCGCCCGGUGGGUCACCGGGUCGAUCCCCCGGCUCGUGAGCUUCCUCCUGAUGUGCGUGUUCCAGUAGUUCUUGAUCUCGUUGUCCGUCCUCCCCGGCAGUCUCCCGGCUAUCAGGGAC